UGCUGACAUGUUAUGCAUGGAAUCAACCUGCUAACUGAUGUGUUAUGUUAUAUAGAUGACGUGUCAUCCACAUCAUUAAGCAUGGAAGAAUGGCAUGAAAAUGUAGAGUAGAAAGGAGACAGAGCGAUGGAGAUGGAGAGAGAGAGCUUUUAAGGAGAAGGGUUGAAGAGGGUGAGGGUUGAGGCCAAAGUCCCACCUUUGAAACCCUAAAUCUGAUGAAGUUAGCCAG
RNAcentral lists this long non-coding RNA (229 nucleotides) under Elaeis guineensis (African oil palm). RNAcentral describes it as "long non-coding RNA (EGUI_LNC007983)". Lineage: Eukaryota; Viridiplantae; Streptophyta; Magnoliopsida; Arecales; Arecaceae. The record is from RNAcentral.